ACGGCCUUAAUGUUACGUCGGUUUUAAUCGUAUUUACGGUACGCUUUGUGUUCGUCAGUUUUUUAAACAUUAGUUUUUAGUAGAGUAAAAAUAAUAAAGCAUGUAAAUAAAUUUAUAAUAAUAAUAAAUUUAUUUACAUGCCACGACUAAAACGCAUUGAUCAGAACUUUCUUUGAAAGAUAAUUCGCAUCAAGUUGUACAAACAUGUUUGGAAAGGAUGCCAUCAAACUAAUAACUGAGCUUGAUAUGUAUGAAGAUAUUCGACCAUUUAAUGAACAAAUAAUGCAACAAGUUUUUGAAGAAAUGCAGAUGCUUUAUGAAGCUAAUCUGGAAGACAUCAGGGAAAAAGACAACUCGCUUUUACCGUCGGUGUAUUUUCGCCAUGCAGCUUUACUCAGGAAUCAAAGAUGCGUGUUAGCGUAUCUGUACCACAGAAUCAAGCGAUUACGACAGAUGCGCUGGGAAUUGGGCAGCAUCUUGCCGGCCGAGGUAACGGCGAAUCUGUUGAAAGCGGAAGAAGAGUGGUUUCAGAAUUACAACAAAUCUCUGGCCACUUACAUGAGGUCGAUCGGAGACGAUCACGGAUUAAAUCUGACCGUGAAUAUGUGUCCUCCGAAAAGCCUCUAUGUUGAGGUGAAAUGUCUGAGCGAUUUCGGCAAGUUGGAACUUGAUGAUGGCGAUAUUAUUACGCUCAAAAAGAACACGUAUCAUCUGCUACCGAGAUCCGUAUGUGAGCCGCUCAUCAGACAAGGCGUACUCGAGCACCAUAACUCGUAAUAAAUAAAAGAAUUCAUUAUCUUUGAUGACCUAUUAUUGCGUGUAAUCUUUAUUGUUUCGACAAGAUCUGAGAAAUCCCACUGACAGAAUUAUUUAACUUCAAAGGAAAGAAGGUUGUAUACAUUUGUCUGAGUUACUAUUUGUACGCCACACAAAGGUAAACGAUAAACGGUUUAUCGUCUUAAUGUGACGCGGUGUGCGGCGCGGCACGACCUCCAUAAUAAUGGAAAAACCCAUGUGGAAUGUCUGCAAUGAAGAGCUCUUUUGUUACGUAUCGAGGCCGCACAUUCGGCAACCAACGAAUCGAUUUCCCGGUUACGAGUCGUAGUCAACGACCGUAGGAGAACGUUUUACCGAUUGUGCAUGGACGACUAACUUCAAACACAGGAAAUGCCGCUGAGAUCCGGGAAUUUCCGGUGAGUUCGACUCGCCGCUUUUACCGGGACAAGCGUUACGAAGAAAGUUCUUCUGCCAUUUAUACGCGGUGAAAGUGACAUUGGCCAAUACAUAAGUCACUGAAUCUGCCGAUCUAUGAUAGACAGUCUGCAAGAAAUAUAAAGAUAGUGUGGAGAGGGGUCCAAGAUGCCACGAAGCGAAUAGGAAAAAAAGUGAGUUUGUCACAGGCUAUCAACCAGUUAAAAUCAUUGUGGACGCAUCAGACUCACAGGUUCACUUUACAUAAACUUUUAGUGUGUGAAAAACUGGCCUAUUGAAGCGCUGAGACUGCUGCUAACUGCUUUCGUUCCAACACACUUUUAUGAAGAGAAUUAUACGAACAACAAACGAGGAAAUUCUAUUUUUUUGUUUUUUUUUUUUAAAUAAGAACUAAAAUGCAUUUGAAACAUCAACAUUAUUUUUACUGCACAAAAUUCCAUGUACUUGAUAAAGAUUAUCACAUAAAAUUCAAGAAAUGUUUUUUAA
Pseudomyrmex gracilis is the source of this 1698-nucleotide RNA transcript. It is a transcript of the gene named DNA replication complex GINS protein PSF1-like, with no coding region annotated. The transcript is spliced from 8 exons. NCBI's taxonomy places the organism in Eukaryota, Metazoa, Arthropoda, Insecta, Hymenoptera, Formicidae. The record is from RefSeq and is a predicted model, not a curated record.